Molecule: ribosomal RNA, 253 nt
Filed under: uncultured bacterium
Lineage: Bacteria
Description: partial 16S ribosomal RNA
Rfam family: Bacterial small subunit ribosomal RNA
Source: RNAcentral
UACAGGGGGUGCAAACGUUGCUCGGAAUCAUUGGGCGUAAAGCGCACGUAGGCGGUUUGUUAUGUCGGAUGUGAAAUCCCUCGGCUCAACUGAGGAACUGCACGGGAGACUGCCGGGCUUGAGUUCGGGAGAGGGAAGCGGAAUUCCGGGUGUAGCGGUGAAAUGCGUAGAUAUCCGGAGGAACACCGGUGGCGAAGGCGGCUUCCUGGACCGACACUGACGCUGAGGCGCGAAAGCUAGGGGAGCAAACGGG